AGAGUUUGAUCAUGGCUCAGGAUGAACGCUGGCGGUAUGCCUUACACAUGCAAGUCGUACGAGAGUUUUUAACUCAAGUGGCGGACGGGUGAGUAACACGUAAGAAUUUGCCUUUAGGAGGGGGAUAACAUCUAGAAAUGGUUGCUAAUACCCCAUAUGCUUUCGAGUGAAAUGGAAUUUCCGCCUAAAGAGAAGCUUGCGGCUGAUUAGCUUGUUGGUGAGGUAAUGGCUCACCAAGGCGACGAUCAGUAUCUGGUUUGAGAGGACGAUCAGACACACUGGAACUGAGACACGGUCCAGACUCCUACGGGAGGCAGCAGUGGGGAAUUUUCCGCAAUGGGCGAAAGCCUGACGGAGCAAUACCGCGUGAGGGAUGACGGCCUAUGGGUUGUAAACCUCUUUUUUCAGGGAGGAAUCAAGUGACGUGUACCUGAAGAAUAAGCAUCGGCUAACUCCGUGCCAGCAGCCGCGGUAAGACGGAGGAUGCAAGUGUUAUCCGGAAUCACUGGGCGUAAAGCGUCUGUAGGUGGUCCAAUAAGUCAACUGUUAAAUCUUGGGGCUCAACCUCAAAAUCGCAGUCGAAACUAUUAGACUAGAGUAUAGUAGGGGUAAAGGGAAUUUCCAGUGGAGCGGUGAAAUGCGUAGAGAUUGGAAAGAACACCGAUGGCGAAGGC
This 674-nucleotide ribosomal RNA is filed under the name uncultured bacterium. Its description in RNAcentral is "bacterial SSU rRNA". It matches the Rfam family "Bacterial small subunit ribosomal RNA", at positions 8 to 722 of the family's 1533-position model. The record is from RNAcentral.